CUCAAAGCAAGCAGAAACAGAUCACCUGAUACUUCAAGCGUCCUUAAAGGGUGAACUGGAGGCAAGCCAGCAGCAAGUAGAAGUCUAUAAAAUUCAGCUGGCUGAAAUAACAGCUGAGAAGCACAAGGCUCACGAGCACCUCAAAGCCUCUGCAGACCAGCACCAGCACACACUGGGUGCAUACCAACAAAAAGUGACAGCCCUUCAGGAGGAGUGCCGUGCUGCCAAGGUGCAUUCUCCACACACAGCUGCUGUCAGCACAGAGCAGGCAGCUUACUUGAGGACUUAUGUUUCACUUUUUACUGUUUCCUAUUGUUUAAAAACACUUACUAGAUGAAUACCCAGUUCUGUUCAUCUACCCUUGAACCCAGAUUCCUUCCCAAUCCUGUCAAAAAAAAAAAGACAGAUAAUAUCUUGUUUAUAUUUCAACUGUGUGAUUCCUAUAAGAAAGUUACUUUAAAAAAAUUUACUGGGAGUCGGGCGGUGGCGCAGUAGGUUAAACGCACGUGGAG
Erinaceus europaeus (western European hedgehog) is the source of this 512-nucleotide long non-coding RNA. RefSeq lists it as uncharacterized. NCBI's taxonomy places the organism in Eukaryota, Metazoa, Chordata, Mammalia, Eulipotyphla, Erinaceidae. The record is from RefSeq and is a predicted model, not a curated record. The transcript is spliced from 3 exons.